GAAACAGAGAACAAUGAGAUACACAUGAGAAGGAAAAAAGAAGAUAUCGAUUGCAUGGAAGUCUAUCUAAUUUCCUGUCGUAUUUUUUUUACAACCUUUUUUUAAGGAGAAUGAGGGGGAUGAGUGUCACCACCUGACUUUUUACCACAGAUGCCGGCAAGUCAGGAAUGUACGGUGCGUGUUACAUAGUCGGGAGCCCUACGGCUAGAUAAUACAAAGGAGGGAGAGAGUAGAGAACUCACGCCAUAGUAAACAAAUUACACCACACACCAACUAUCGAGCCGUGCUUGCGAGGCAAGCGACCUCUCCAUAGUACACAGUCCUCUCUACAUCCACAGAACAAACGAGCGAGGUCGAGACACUCACUUCUGAAAUCAAUGUCGUGGCGG
RNAcentral lists this long non-coding RNA (389 nucleotides) under Setaria viridis. RNAcentral describes it as "long non-coding RNA (SVIR_LNC011380)". The record is from RNAcentral. Lineage: Eukaryota; Viridiplantae; Streptophyta; Magnoliopsida; Poales; Poaceae.